UGGGGAAUAUUGCACAAUGGGCGGAAGCCUGAUGCAGCGACGCCGCGUGGGGGAUGACGGCCUUCGGGUUGUAAACCCCUUUCGCCCGGGACGAAGCGAGAGUGACGGUACCGGGAGAAGAAGCACCGGCCAACUACGUGCCAGCAGCCGCGGUAAUACGUAGGGUGCAAGCGUUGUCCGGAAUUAUUGGGCGUAAAGAGCUCGUAGGCGGUGUGUCGCGUCUGCCGUGAAAACCUGCGGCUUAACCGUGGGCGUGCGGUGGAUACGGGCACACUUGAGUUCGGUAGGGGAGACUGGAAUUCCUGGUGUAGCGGUGGAAUGCGCAGAUAUCAGGAGGAACACCAGUGGCGAAGGCGGGUCUCUGGGCCGAAACUGACGCUGAGGAGCGAAAGCGUGGGGAGCGAACAGG
This 409-nucleotide ribosomal RNA is filed under the name uncultured bacterium. RNAcentral describes it as "bacterial SSU rRNA". It matches the Rfam family "Bacterial small subunit ribosomal RNA", at positions 355 to 776 of the family's 1533-position model. The record is from RNAcentral.